Molecule: long non-coding RNA, 15246 nt
Filed under: Manihot esculenta (cassava)
Lineage: Eukaryota; Viridiplantae; Streptophyta; Magnoliopsida; Malpighiales; Euphorbiaceae
Description: long non-coding RNA (MESC_LNC003658)
Source: RNAcentral
AACGCAAAGAGCCGAUACGCAUCAAUGAUCCGACUGAAUCUGGUUCAAAUAAUGAUUUGCAUAUUUCUUUCCUUUUUGUUCUUGUCCAAAUUUCACAGAUUGAAACAGAAAUCGCUGCGAGUCCUUCGCUUCUUCAUGAGAUCGGACCCAUGCCCUUGCUAGAGAAGUCCCUGUCGUUGCAUACAUAGAAAGGUCUGCAUAUUAUAUACACACCCGCACCUUUUCAUUAUAAUUGCUGCAUUUGCUCUAUGUAAUUGUGAUUUUGUGUCGGUUAUGGCAGAUAAUCGAGGAAGAGCAGCUUCAAUCGAAAAGGUAGCAUCGAAGUACUUUUUUCACUUUUCUCCUUUUCUUUAACGUUACUGGUUUUUGUUUAAUAUAUAUUCUGCUUUAGUAUUCGUAACUGCUAAAUAUCGUUACUCCUCGAGUUUUUUUUGUUUUUUUUUUUUUUUUAUGGAUAUGGACUAACAUAUUCUAGUAGUAGAACCGACGUUCAAUAAUGAUUUGGUAUUUGUUGAAUGCAAUAUUUAGUUGCAUGGUUACAAGAAAUAGAAGAGAUUAAAAGUUUAACGAAUUUGAGUGGGUGUUAGUCGUUUCUCAUAUCAUUAAUUUUUAGCUCACUGAAUUUAGUGCAAGUCUUGGCAUAUUCAAUAAGUUGGCUGCUCAAAGAGAUUAAAUCUCUGUCUCUGCCAAUUUUCCCUCUCUUCUAAGCGACCAAACAGAGCAUAAAUGAAUGCUUUUGGCUUGUUAGUAGAUUGGAGUUUUAGAUGUAGAGAAAAUGUAGUACUAGCAGCAUCAAGUUAGAUUACCAAAUUGUAGACAGACUUUUUUGAGCAGUUAAAUACAAUAUGCUAAGGGGAGAUACACAUCUCAUUUGUUGUGUAUUGAAGUUAUGUGCUCUAGGCAAUUAUGGUUAGGGGUCUCAAGAUUGAUUGAAGCCUUGAGGUCUACCUUGAGUGUCUUCAAAGUUCUUUAUCUUAUUCUUGCCAAAUUAUUCAUUUUAAGGGAGGGGGAGAAUACUAGAAAUGUCUAUUCAUUUUAUCUUUAGUGUUCGUGUUGUCCAUACCAGUAAUGUAAUGCGCGGGUGCGUGUUUGUAGGUAAAUUGAGUACUAUAAAGUAUGUGAUAUUGAGAGAGAGCUAGCAAAUUUACAAUAUAGAUGAAACUUACAUGUGCACCAAAAUGGCAGGUCAGUAAAGUAACUACCCUUUCUCUUGAUUAUGGUUAACAUUGCGAUUAUUCUCAUCUAUGAUGCAUGCCUUAAGCACUUGAGCACAUGAGAAGGAAAUAGAAAUGUCAGCUGGAUGAAUUUGUGCUGCCAGUCUUAAGGAAGAACAAACAUGAAAGUUUUGUCCCUCUUAAUUGCAACACUCAGCCCAUGUCUUUGUCUUCUUUUUGUGUGAACCCUGAAUAGUAGGAGCACUGCUCGAAAUUAUUUAGCACACAGCCCCAACCCACAAUCACCCAAGAAACCUCAAUUAAUUAGAAAGCAAGUCAACCUAGUUGAACGGGUCAUAGAAAGACAGAAACUUGAAAGGUUAAAAAAAAAAAAUUACUAGGGUAUUUUGGACAAAUUAUGAAUUAUUUUCAAUUGAUUGAAAAUAUCUGAUGAGGGUUUUAGUUGGCAAAUGUUUAAAAUCAUUGGUUUAGAUACGAUUUAUAUGGUAGGAGUGAGGAUGUUGCAAUAUUGCAUGUGAAAAAGUAUAAGCUACAAAAUAGGGGGAGAUAUGCGACAUAUGGAAAUAUGUGGAAUGCUUCUUGUUGUGUCUUUAUCUUUCUCUAAAUUUUCUCUUCUGACAAUGGAAUUUCUUUGGAAGCCAGAUUUUCUUUACUUCACACACUUGCACAAAAAUGAUCAUCUUUUGAAGGAACUUUACAUCACCUGGGAGUUAUGAUUUUUCUUUCCUCCCCACAGCUGACAUGUGUGAGUUUUGAGAUUUUAUGGUUUUCUUUUAUAAUUUAACAGAUGAGUUGUAUUUCCUCUUUAGCAUUGUGUGUAUCUCGCUUAAUGUCUUUUAGGUGUGGGAAGCAGCAGCAGAAACUGUGAAAGGUGAGGAAGCAAUUGAGCAAAAGUUAUAUGAAGACUUGAAUCAACUGGUACACAUCUUCACUAAUAAAAUCGUAAAACUUUUGCUAUUUGUUGCAAACAUGUUUGAUGUAUUGUCCUUAAUAGGUCCAAGAGGGCUGUAGCUCUCAAUUUACUGGACUCGAGUAAUUAAAAAGAUGACUGGAAGCUUUAAACCUAGCAGAGCAUCCACCUCUUCUCUUCAUGUAAAUCUUUCUUUACAAAUACCCCCACACUUAGCCUUUUGCUUGUUCUCAAGCAACCAAUAACUUAGUCAAUCAAGCUCCUUUUUCUUUUGAGCCUAAGUACCACUUAAUCAGCCCCCUAGACUCCCAAAUUGAAGCACUAUAGUGUAGAGUACAUGCACUAAGGUUGUCCUCUCUUUCCAUGUUUCUUCCCACCCACCAUGACCAAGAAAAAGUUUUUUAUUUGAUCAUGCUUAUUCUUUCAUUUUAGGCUUAAUGCAACCUCUAAGAGUGACUUGCCUUUUUUUUUUAUUUUUAUUCAGCAGCACUUUUUCUUAUUCUUGCCUGAAAAAGUCACCAACCUUUUUAUACGAAGGUGCAUAUUGGUGAUACUCACCCCCGGUUACUCAGUUAGUCACUUGUUCAAGUGGCUACUAGCUCUGUUCAUAGUCCUUGACCAUUGGAACAGGUUUGUGUUGUGUGCUUUUUGCUAAGUUAUUUUUCCCUUUUUUCUUUUCUUUUCCUUUUUCAUAGCAGUUUGGGCAAAUCAGCUCAUAGGGAGUUACACUAACUUUUAUUGCAUGUAUUUAUAUUUUUCUCUUGACCAUAGCAAGUGCAAAGAUCCAAUUUAAGAGAAAAACUCCCUAAGUGAAAGUAACACACUGUAAAUGAUUCAAUUUAGGCUUAAAGGGUUGGAAAAUUUAAUGGGGUCAUGAGAUAGGAGGCUCUUUUAACCUAGUCAUCGAUGCUGAGUAGAGCAAAAAAAAAAAAAAAAUCUGUGUGCAUGAAGGUUGUGUGUGUGUGCAGAAGUGAAUAUGAGUGAAAAAAUGUGAGUGAAAAAUUUUUGUGUGUAUAAAAGAGUAAAAAGAAUGCAAAAAGAGUAAAAAGAAUGCAAAAAGAGGCAAAAAUAUAACAAAAGAUAGUGCAAAAAUCUCCCCCAAUACCCCCACAUCUAGUCUAAACAUUGUCCUCAAUGUAAAAGAUAUAAAGAAGAAUUAAGAGAGAAAAGGGACUUCCUGGCCUGGGGUGAUUUGGUCAGUGAUUUGAGCAAAUCACUCGGCCAAAUCACUGGUUGUCAUGGUGUAUGGGCAGGAAAUUGUCCACCAACAGUUGUAGCAGGUGUUCCAUGUUUUGCAUUCUAUCCUCAAUUCUACUGAGACGUGCUUCUACUGUUUGGUUUGGGGCUGCGUCUUCAGGUGCCUGAUUUGCUUCCUGCUGGGGUGUCACUGGAGGUGCUUCCUCUGCUGCUUCUUGUUUUGUGUCCUCUACUGAGGUAGGCUGCUGGGAUGUUGUGGGCUGGAUGGCUGUUCUCUUCUUAAACACACGCUCAUGGCGUGGUAUGAUAGGACCUGUAGGUGCAAUAGAAAAAAUGUCCCCCACUUUGCAAAGCAACCCCAUAUCAUCCAAAGUGCGUAGGUCCAGGGGGUUGGUUUGUUGGUGGAGGUGAGGUCAGUGUGCGCAGGAUGCAAUAAUUUCAGAUUCACUGCAAUGGUAGUGAUCAAAUGUCCAAGUAUUAAUGGUAUGUGAUAUUGGAUGGUGCUGGAGAGUUGUAUGGCAACCCAGUAGCCUAAGUGAAUUUUCUGGUUUUUAGACAUACUCCACAGAAUGUAUAACUCUGCUCUGGUCAGGAUGUUGGGUGCAUCCUUCCUCCCAUAAAAUAUAUAUGCUAAGAACCUGUGUAAAUACUUAAGGUAGGGAUUUCUGAUGUACAGGUCUUUGGAUUUUGUGGGUGAGUAUGUGUCAGGUGGGUUGUCUAAUCAAUGCUAAAUAUGCAGAGUUGGGAUUGAACUCAGUGGGGAAAUCCCAGGUAGAGUCAGAGCAUUCAGAGCCCAUGGCAAUACUGAACUCAUGCAGGGACAAGCGAAAUCGUUGUCCUAAUAGCCUAAAACCAAUAGUAUCUGGUGUGUGCAGGGUGUUCAUGGUUGAUUUGUCAAAGUAGAAGGUGGUGAAGAACUCAUGUGUGAGCUCAGUGAAGGAUGGCAUGCGAAGGUAGAAGAAUGUAUCCCAACCAAUGGCAGAAAUAAGGAAACGUACCUGAUCUUGAAGUCCUAGUGCUUCGAUGGUGCCAUGGUGUAUGAACUUACCUGGAUGGUAUGGCAGAGAAGAGACUCUGUCUAGCCUGGUGCAUUCAGAGGCUUUGUUGAAUGUCUUUGUUGAAUGUCAGUGCCUAUGUGAUAUGAUCUGGGUGUGCUGGUCUGGGCAAAUCACUGGGCAGAUUACUUUCUUCGUGGCUUGCGGGAUGUUUGUCAAUGGGGGUUUCUGGUUGUUGCUCUUGGCUCGGCGGUGGUGGUGGUGAGGGUGUUCUUGGCCGUUUCUGACCAUGACCAGUGGAAGGGGUGUCUUCUUGAGGCUUUUCGCCUCCCUGGGUGUCCAUCACGACUGUUGGUGAGGAAGGUGGUGGGGCAAUUAUUCUGGCUUUGUUCCGCCGACUAUAUGCCUGGACGUCCGGUGUGUCGGGGCGCUUGGUCUCUGUUCCCUCGGCCGUCCCUGUGUCGGCGUCGUCGGCGAUGUGAGGAGGGUUUUCCAUGGUCUCCUCGUCACUGUCAGUGGGAAUGCAAAUGGGUCUGGGCAUCCCGCGCCUCCUCCACAUACCGGGGCUGCCGGUGGCCAUCAUCUUGGUUCUGGCCAUGGUGCUUGAUGUCGCCGGUGGUGGAGUUCUUGGGGAAGAAGAAAGAGAUGAAGCAAAGAGAUAGCGUGAGGGAAAAGGAAUUAAUAAAAAAAACUAUUUAAAGUGAUUUGGGGAAGUUGAACUGCCCUGAUCAUUUAAUGCUGGGUCUGUGACUUCUUGGCAGGGUGAUUUGGUCAGUGAUUUGGGCAAAUCACUUGGUCAAAUUACUUCCUCGUUGUAAUUGCUUGAUUGGCCCUGGUCACGCUAUUUCUGUGAUGUUUGAAUCCUGGUGAUUGGCUUGUCGAUUUGGGCAAAUCACCUGCCCCAAUCACUUCAGCUGGGUUGCCUCCCAGUAGCGCCCUGUUUUCUGUCCUGGGCUGGACUAUUUUCUCUUGAUCAGCAGAUUGGGGGAGGGGGAUCUAAGGGAACCUCCUCCACAAGAUGAACAGUAAAUCCUUCGUAGAAUUGCUUCAGACGGUGCCCAUUGACUUUGAAAACUUUGUUUGUUUAUGGACUGCGUAUGUCCACAGCCCCAUGUAGAUGGACAUGUUCAACCAAGAAUGGCCCAAUCCACAUGGGUCGAAGUUUCCCAGGAAAUAAUUUGAACCUUGAAUCAAAAAGCAAGACCUUAUCACCAACCUGAAAUUGUUUUCUGGAGAUGUGUUUGUCAUGGAAGACUUUAGUCUUGGCUUUAUAAUCCCAUGAAGCUUCAUAUGAAUCACGCCGAAUUUUUUCUAGCUCUUGAAGUUGCAAUUUUCUGUGGAUUCCAGUUUCUUUUUCAUCCCGAUUACACCUUUUGACAGCCCAAUAAGCUUUGUGUUCAAGUUCUACGGGCAGAUGGCAAGUUUUCCCAUAAAUCAGCCUAUAUGAGGACAUUCCAAUUGGUGUUUUGUAAGCUAUUCUAUCUGCCCACAAGGCAUCAUUGAGGCGUACACUCCAAUCCUUGCGAUUUGGGCAAACUGUCUUCUUGAGGAUAGACUUGAUCUCCCUGUUUGAGACUUCGGCCAGCCCAUUUAUUUGAGGGUGAUAGGCAGUAGAAGUUCUAUGGACAACCUGGUGCUUUUUAAGGAGAGUCUCCACCACCUUGUUGCAGAAAUGAGUGCCUCGGUCACUGAUUAUUGCUUUGGGCAAACCGAAUUUGGAAAAUAUGUGGGAUUUCACAAAGUCAACAACCACUUUUGCAUCAUCAGCUCUUGUUGCUUUGGCCUCUAUCCAUUUGGACACAUAGUCCACUGCCAGCAGUAUGUAGGUAUUGCCAAAGGAAGGUGGGAAUGGUCCCAUGAAGUCAAUGCCCCAAAUGUCAAAGAUUUCAUACCAUGAUGGGUGCUUGUGGCAUUUCACUUAUGCUACUGAGGUUUCCUAUUUGUUGGCAUCUUGCACAUGACCUACAAAAUAGAUAAGCAUCUCGAAAUAUGUUAGGCCAAUAUAACCCACAUUCAAGGAUCUUCAGGGCUGUCUUGCGUGGACCAAAAUGUCCUCUAUAGCCAUAUGAGUGAUAGAAGGCUAGGACAGAAGAAAUCUCAUGAUCAGGGAUGCAUCUGUGUAUCACUUGGUCUGCACAAUGCUUCUAUAGGUAGGGUUCAUCCCACACAUAAUACCUUACAUCAUUCUUGAUCUUGUCUCUCAUGUAUUGGGCAAAUCAGUAGGUAAAUCACUAACUAGGUAAUUUACUAUAUCAGCAUACCACGGUUCUUCUUCUUGGACAGCAAAUAGGUGCUCAUCAGGAAAAUUUUCGUUGAUAGGAGAGGUCUCCAUUUCUGAAAGUAUUCUGCUGAGUUGAUCAGCUACAAGGUUUUCCUUCCCCUUCUUGUCACGGAUUUCCACAUCAAAUUCCUGUAACAGCAGUAUCCAACGUACUAACCUUGGUUUUGCUUCUUUUUUCUUGACCAAAUACCUUAGUGCAGCAUGAUCUGAAUAAACAAUCACCUUUGUCCCAAGUAGAUAGGACCGAAAUUUUUCCAAUGCAAAUACUAUAGCCGGCAAUUCUUUUUCUGUGGUAGAAUAAUUACAUUGUGCUGCAUCUAGGGUGCGUGAGGCAUAGUGAAUGACAUGAGGAGAGUUACCUUUACGCUGUCCCAACACUGCACCUAUAGCAAAGUUGCUGGCGUCACACAUAAUCUCAAAUGGAAGGGUCUAGUUAGGUGGCUGGAUGACUAGGGCAGUGACCAGCAGUGAUUUGAUCAAAUCAAAGGCUGUUCUGCAGCUUUCAUCAAAGUCGAAUGGCACGUCCUGUUGAAGCAGCCUGCAUAAAGGCUAAGUUAUCUUGAAAAAAUCUUUGAUGAACCUUCUGUAAAAACCAGCAUCGCCUAGGAAUGAGCGAAUCUCCCGAAUGCUAGUUGGAUAGGGCAGGCUCUUGAUAGUGUCUAUUUUAGCUUUAUCUACCUCUAUCCCUUUUGUUGAAACAAUGUGUCAUAGGAUUAGACCAUGGUUGACUAUGAAGUGACACUUCUCAUAGUUUAAGACCAGAUUUGUCUCCAAGCAUCUUUGAAGUAUCUUCUCCAAGUUGGCUAGGCAUUCAUUGAAAGAGUUACCAUACAUCGUGAAAUCAUCCAUGAAGACUUCAAUAAUUUUCUCUAUAUAGUCAGAAAAAAUACUCAUCAUACACCUUUGGAAGGUGGCUGGUGCAUUGCAAAGGCCGAAAGGCAUCCUCCUAAAUGCGAAGGUGCCAAAUGGACAUGUGAAAGUGGUCUUUUCUUGAUCUUCAGGUGCAACAGGGAUUUGAUAAAAUUCCGAAUAUCCAUCUAGGCAGCAGUAGUGGCUUUUUCUUGCGAGUCUCUCAAGCAUUUGGUCCAUGAAUGCCUAGCCAACUUGGAGAUCGUGAAAUCAUCCAUGAAGACUUCAAUAAUUUUCUCUAUAUAGUCAGAAAAAAUACUCAUCAUACACCUUUGGAAGGUGGCUGGUGCAUUGCAAAGGCCGAAAGGCAUCCUCCUAAAUGCGAAGGUGCCAAAUGGACAUGUGAAAGUGGUCUUUUCUUGAUCUUCAGGUGCAACAGGGAUUUGAUAAAAUUCCGAAUAUCCAUCUAGGCAGCAGUAGUGGCUUUUUCUUGCGAGUCUCUCAAGCAUUUGGUCCAUGAAGGGCAAGGUAAAGUGGUCCUUCCUUGUAGCUGCAUUGAGCUUCCUAUAAUCCAUGCACACUCUCCACCCAUUUUGCACACGAGUGGGUACAAGCUCUCAUUCAGAAUUGGGGACAAUGGUAAUUUCAGUCUUCUUUAGUACCACAUGGAUGGGGCUCACCCACUUGCUGUCAGAAAUGGAGUAGAUUAUCCCAGUGUCUAAGAGCUUUACUAUUUCUUUCUUCACAACCUCCAUCAUUGGGGGAUUCAGCCUUCUUUGAGCUUCACGGACAGGUUUGCACUCAUCUUCCAUGAGUAUUUGGUGCAUGCAUGUUGAUGGUGAGAUGCCCUUUAUGUCUUCCAAGGUCCACCCAAUUGCUUUUUUGUGUUUUCUCAACACCUUUAGGAGGCUGUCCUCUUCUUGUCGGCUCAACUGAUUGGAAAUUAUGACUGGAAGUGUUUUCAGGUCUGGUGCAGUUGCUGUCUGAUCUGGUGCUUGCACCUUGCUGGUGCACUAAGACAGAAACAGACCAGACCGCAUACUGCACCUUGCUGGUUGCGGAUGAUUUGACCAAAUCAACAGAAUAGGCAGAUGCUGACUUGCUCAAAUCACUGGAGCAGACAGACAUGACAAAGGAUGAUUUGACCAGAUCACCAGACCUAGUAUCAGACGAUCUGCCCAAAUCAGUGAAUAAACAGCAGGCACCAGAUCAGACAGCAACUGCACCAGACCUGAAAACUCUACUAGGACACCUCAAAUACGCUUACUUGGGGGCUGAAAAAACACUUCCAGUCAUAAUUUCCAAUCAGUUGAGCCGGCAAGAAGAGGACAGCCUCCUAAAGGUGUUGAGGAAACACAAAGAAGCAAUUGGGUGGAUCAUGGAAGACAUAAAGGGCAUCUCACCAUCAACAUGCACGUACCGAAUACUCAUGGAAGAGGAGUGCAAACCUGUCCGUGAAGCUCAAAGAAGGCUGAAUCCUCCAAUGAUGGAGGCUGUGAAGAAAGAAAUAGUAAAGCUCUUAGACACUAGGGUGAUCUACCCCAUUUCUGACAGCAAGUGGGUGAGCCCCAUCCAUGUGGUACCAAAGAAGACUGGAAUUACCAUUGUCUCCAAUUCUAAAGGAGAGCUUAUACCCACUCGUGUGCAAAAUGGGUGGAGAGUGUGCAUGAAUUAUAGGAAGCUCAAUGCAGCCACAAGGAAGGACCACUUUCCUUUGCCCUUCAUGGACCAAAUGCUUGAGAGACUCGCAGGAAAAAGCCACUACUACUGCCUAGAUGGAUAUUCGGAAUUUUAUCAAAUCCCUGUUGCACCUGAAGAUCAGGAAAAGACCACUUUCACAUGUCCAUUUGGUACCUUUGCAUUUAGGAGGAUGCCCUUCGGCCUUUGCAAUGUACCAGCCACCUUCCAAAGAUGCAUGAUGAGUAUUUUUUCUGACUAUGUGGAGAAAAUUAUUGAACUCUUCAUGGAUGAUUUCACGGUGUAUGGCAACUCUUUCAAUGAAUGCCUAGCCAACUUGGAGGAAAUACUUUAAAGAUGCUUCGAGACAAAUCUGGUCUUAAACUAUGAAAAGUGUCACUUCAUGGUCAACCAUGGUCUAAUCCUAGGACACAUUGUUUCAGCAAAAAGGAUAGAGGUAGAUAAAGCCAAAAUAGACACUAUCAAGAGCCUGCCCUAUCCAACCAGCAUUCGGGAGAUUCGCUUAUUCCUAGGCCAUGCUGGUUUUUACAGAAGGUUUAUCAAAGAUUUUUCCAAGAUAACUCAGCCUUUAUGCAGGCUGAUUCAACAGGACGUGCCAUUCGACUUUGAUGAAAGCUGCAGAAUAGCCUUUGAUUUGAUCAAGUCACUGCUGGUCAAUGCCCCAGUCAUCCAGCCACCUGAUUGGACCCUUCCAUUUGAGAUUAUGUGUGAUGUCAACAACUUUGCUAUAGGUGCAGUGUUGGGACAGCGUAAAGGUAACUCUUCUCAUGUCAUUUACUAUGCCUCACGCACCCUAUAUGCAGCACAAUGUAAUUAUUCUACCACAGAAAAAGAAUUGCUGGCUGUAGUAUUUGUAUUGAAAAAAUUUCGGUCCUAUCUACUUGGGACAAAGGUGAUUGUUUAUUCAGAUCAUGCUGCACUAAGGUAUUUGGUCAAGAAAAAAGAAGUAAAACCAAGGUUAGUACGUUGGAUACUGCUGUUACAGGAAUUUGAUGUGGAAAUCCGUGACAAGAAGGGGAAGGAAAACCUUGUAGCUGAUCACCUCAGCAGAAUACUUUCAGAAAUGGAGACCUCUUCUAUCAAUGAAAAUUUUCUUGAUGAGCACCUAUUUGUUGUUUAAGAAGAAGAACCGUGGUAUGCUGAUAUAGUAAAUUACCUAGCUACAGGUGAUUUACCUACUGAUUUGCUCAAAUACAUGAGAGACAAGAUCAAGAAGGAUGCAAGGUAUUAUGUGUGGGAUGAAUCCUACCUAUGGAAGCAUUGUGCAGACUAAGUGAUACGCAGAUGCAUCCUUGAUCAUGAGAUUUCUUCUGUCCUAGCCUUCUGCCACUCAUAUGGCUGUGGAUGAUAUUUUGGUCCACGCAAGACAACCCUGAAGAUCUUUGAAUGUGGGUUAUAUUGGCCUAACAUAUUUUGAGAUGCUUAUCUAUUUUGUAGGUCAUGUGCAAGAUGCCAACAAACAGGAAACCUCAGUAGCAGAAGUGAAAUGCCACAAGCACCCAUCAUAGUAUGUGAAAUCUUUGACAUUUGGGGCAUUGACUUCAUGGGACCAUUCCCACCUUCCUUUGGCAACACCUAUAUACUACUGGCAGUGGACUAUGUGUCCAAAUGGAUAGAGGCCAAAGCAACAAGAGCUGAUGAUGCAAAAGUGGUUGUUGACUUUGUGAAAUCCCACAUAUUUUCUAGAUUCGGUUUGCCCAAAGUAAUAAUCAGUGACCGAGGCACUCAUUUCUGCAACAAGGUGGUGGAGACUCUCCUUAAAAAGCACCAGGUUGUCCAUAGAACUUCUACUGCCUAUCACCCUCAAACAAAUGGGCUGGCCGAAGUCUCAAACAGGGAGAUCAAGUCUAUCCUCGAGAAGACAGUUUGCCCAAAUCGCAAGGAUUGGAGUGUACGCCUCAAUGAUGCCUUGUGGGCAUAUAGAACAACUUACAAAACACCAAUUGGAAUGUCUCCAUAUAGGCUGAUUUAUGGGAAAGCUUGCUAUCUGCCCGUAGAACUUGAACACAAAGCUUAUUGGGCUGUCAAAAGGUGUAAUCUGGAUGAGAAAGAAGCUGGAAUCCACAGAAAAUUGCAACUUCAAGAUCUAGAAGAAAUUCGGCGUGAUGCAUAUGAAGCUUCAUGGGAUUAUAAAGCCAAGACUAAAGCCUUCCAUGACAAACACAUAUCCAGAAAACAAUUUCAGGUUGGUGAUAAGGUCUUGCUUUUUGAUUCAAGGUUCAAAUUAUUUCCUGGGAAGCUUCGGUCCAGGUGGAUAGGGCCAUUCUUGGUUGAACAUGUCUAUCCACAUGGGGCUGUGGACAUACGCAGUCCACAAACAAACAAAGUUUUCAAAAUCAAUGGGCACCGUCUGAAGCAAUUCUACGAACGAUUUACUGUUCAUCUUGUGGAGGAGGUUCCCUUAGAUCCCCCUUCCCCAAUCUGCUCAUCAAGAGAAAACAGUCCAGCCCAAAACAAAAAACAGGGCGCUACUGGGAGGCAAUCCAGCUGAAGUGAUUGGGGCAGGUGAUUUGCCCAAAUCGACAAGCCAAAUCACCAGGAUUCAAACAUCACAAAAAUGGCGUGACCAAGGCCAAUCAAGCAAUUACAACAAGGAAGUAAUUUGGCCAAGUGAUUUGCCCAAAUCACUGACUAAAUCACCGUGCCAAGAAGUCACAGACCCAACAUUAAAAGAUCAGGGCAGUUCAACUUCCCCAAAUCACUUUAAAUAGUUUUUUUUUAUUAAUUCCUUUUCCCUCACGCUAUCUCUCUGCUUCAUCUCUUUCUUCUUCCCUAAGAACUCCACCACCGGCGACAUCAAGCACCAUGGCCAGAACCAAGAUGAUGGCCACCGACGGCCCCGGUAUGUGGAGGAGGCGCGGGAUGCCCAGACCCAUUCACAUUCCCACUGACAGUGACGAGGAGGCCAUGGAAAACCCUCCUCCCAUUGCCGACGACGCCGACACAGGGACGGCCGAGGGAACAGAGACCAGGCGCCCCGACACACCGGACGUCCAGGCAUAUAGCCGGCGGAACAAAGCCAGAAUGAUUGCCCCACCAUCUUCCUCACCAACAGUAGCGAUGGACACCCAGGGAGGCGAAACGCCUCAAAAAGACACCCCUUCCACUGGUCAUGGUCAGAAACGGCCAAGAACACCCUCACCACCACCACCGCUGAGCCAAGAGCAACAACCAGAAACCCCCAUUGACACACAUCCCACAAGCCACGAAGAAAGCAAUCUGCCCAGUGAUUUGCUCAGACCAGCACACCCAGAUCAUAUCACACAGGCACUGACAUUCAACAAAGCCUCUGAACGCACCAGGCUAGACAGAGUCUCUUUUCUACCAUACCAUCCAGGUAAGUUCAUACACCAUGGCACCCUCGAAGCACUAGGACUUCAAGAUCAGGUACGUUCCCUUAUUUCUGUCAUUGGUUGGGAUACAUUCUUCUACCUUCACAUGCCAUCCUUCACUGAGCUCACACAUGAGUUCUUCACCACCUUCUACUUUGACAAAUCAACCAUGAACACCCUGCACACACCAGAUACUAUUGGUUUUAGGCUAUUAGGACAGCGAUUUUGCUUGUCCCUGCAUGAGUUCAGUAUUGCCAUGGGCUCUAAAUGCCUUGACUCUAAUUGGGAUUUCUCCACUGAGUUCAAUCCCAGCUCUGCAUUUUUAGCAUUGUGUGACAACCCACCUGACACAUACUCACCCACAAAAUCCAAAGACCUGUACAUCAGAAAUCUCUGCAUUAAGUAUUUACAUAGGUUCUUAGCAUAUACAUUUUCUGAGAGGAAGGAUGCACCCAACAUCCUAACCAGAACAGAGUUAUACAUUCUGUGGAGUAUGUCCAAAAACCAGAAAAUUCACUUAGGCUACUGGGUUGCCACACUACUCUCCAGCACCAUCCAAUAUCACAGACCAUUAAUCCUCGGACAUUUGAUCACUGCCAUUACAAUGAAUCUGAAAUUAUUGCAUCCUGCCCACACUGACCUCACCCCCACCAACAAACCAACCCCUCUGGACCUACGCACUUUGGAUGAUAUGGGGUUGCUUUGCAAAGUGGAGGACAUUUUUUCUAUUGUACCUGCAGGUCCUAUCAUACCACGCCAUGAGCGUGUGUUUAGGAAGAGAACAACCAUCCAGCCCACAACAUCCCAGCAGCCUGCCUCAGCAGAGGACAUAGAACAGGAAGCAGCAGAGGAAGCACAUCGAGUGGCACCCCAGCAGGAAGCAAAUCAGGCACCUGAAGACGCAACCCCAAACCACACAGUAGAAUCACGUCUCAGUAGAAUUGAGAACAGAAUGCAAAACAUGGAACACCUGCUGCAACUGUUGGUGGACAAUUUCCUGCCCACACACCAUGACAGCCAGUGAUUUGGCCAAGUAAUUUGUCCAAAUCACUGACCAAAUCACCCCAGGCCAGGAAGUCCCUUUUCUCUCUUAAUUCUUUGUUAUAUCUUUUACAUUGAUGACAAUGUUUAGACUAGGUGUGGGGGUAUUGGGGGAGAUUUUUGCACUAUCUUUUGUUAUAUUUUUGCGUCUUUUUGCAUUCUUUUUACCCUUUUAUACACAUAAAAAUUUUUCACACACAUUUUUUCACUCAUAUUCACUUCUGUACACACACACAGCCUUCAUGCACACAGAUUUUUUUUUUUUUUUGCUCUACUCAGCAUAGAUGACUAGGUUAAAAGAGCCUCCUAUCUCAUGACCCCAUUAAAUUUUCCAACCCUUUAAGCCUAAAUUGAAUCAUUUAUAGUGUGUUACCUUCACUUAGGGAGUUUUUCUCUUAAAUUGGAUCUUUGCACUUGCUAUGGUCAAGAGAAAAAUAUAAAUACAUGCAAUAAAAAGUUAGUGUAACUCCCUAUGAGCUGAUUUGCCCAAACUGCUAUGAAAAAGGAAAAGAAAAGAAAAAAGAGAAAAAUAACUCAGCAAAAAGCACACAACACAAACCUGUUCCAAUGGUUAAGGACUAUGAACAGAGCUAGUAGCCACUUGAACAAGUGACUAACUGAGUAACCGGGGGUGAGUAUCACCAAUAUGCACCUUCGCGUAAAAAGGUUUGUGACUUUUUUAGGCAAGAAUAAGAAAAAGUGAUGCUGAAUGAAAAUACAAAAAAGGCAAGUGACUCUUAGAGGUUGCAUUAAGCCUAAAAUGAAAGAAUAAGUAUGAUCAAAUAAAAAACUUUUUUUUUGUCAUGGUGGGUGGGAAGAAACAAGGAAAGAGAGGACAACCUUAGUGCAUGUACUCUACACUAUAGUGCUUCAAUUUGGGAGUCUAGGGGGGCUGAUUAAGUGGUACUUAGGCUCAAAAGAAAAAGGGGCUUGAUUGACUAAGUUAUUGGUUGCUUGAGGACAAGCAAAAGGCUAGGUGUGGGGGUAUUUGAUCAAACAUAAUUUAGCCACAUUUUUAUUAUCUUUAUUACUGUUUAAUUACACGUUUUUUCAGCUUAAUUUAUGUUUUUGUGAUUUUUUACAGAAAAGGAAGAAAAUAGAAAGUUAGAGAAAAAGUGCAGAAAAAGCUGGGAAAUUGAUUUGGUCAGAGUGAUUUGGCCAAAUCGAUCGUAGAAAGCAAAGGCAGGAAACUGAGAUAGAAAUCUGGAAGUAAUUCACAGAAACGAUUUGUACAAGUGAUUUGCCCAAAUCACCCGCCCAAAUCACAGUGACGCAGACAAGGACAGAAGCGCGGGAAAGAAGGGCAAGAUUUCAAAAUUCAAAAGUGAUAAAGUCCAAUCCUACUUCAAACACUACAAGAUCAGUUCCAAAGAGCUACGAGAAGGUUUUUCACCCAAGGAAUUCUAUUCACAAUUAAAUACAAAGUCAAAAGAGGAAUCAAAGGCUACAAAAGACCAAGUCAAAAUUGGGAUUCCAACCCCUAAUUGAACUAUGACUCUUCACCUAUAAAAGGGACAGCUCCAAAACCAGCAGACAUCAUCUCUCCACCUUCGAAAAUACUGCAGAAACACAGCAGGAAGUCUGCUGCAGCUUCUCUUCUUUUCUUUCUUCUUUCUUUUUUGUGAUUUUGUCCACCAUGAGUGGCUAAACACUUUCUUUUCUAGUUGAAGUUGGGAAAUUUCAUGUUUGUGAUGAAUUGGGAGAUUUAAAACUCCAUUAUUAAACUCUUAUUUAUUUUCAAUAUUUAUGCAACUUGAUCUUUCUAUUA